AACGAACGCUGGCGGCAGGCUUAACACAUGCAAGUCGAGCGCGUAGCAAUACGAGCGGCAGACGGGUGAGUAACGCGUGGGAACGUACCCUUUUCUACGGAAUAACCCAGGGAAACUUGGACUAAUACCGUAUACGCCCUUAGGGGGAAAGAUUUAUCGGAGAAGGAUCGGCCCGCGUUGGAUUAGCUAGUUGGUGGGGUAAAGGCCUACCAAGGCGACGAUCCAUAGCUGGUCUGAGAGGAUGAUCAGCCACAUUGGGACUGAGACACGGCCCAAACUCCUACGGGAGGCAGCAGUGGGGAAUAUUGGACAAUGGGCGCAAGCCUGAUCCAGCCAUGCCGCGUGAGUGAUGAAGGCCUUAGGGUUGUAAAGCUCUUUCACCGGGGAAGACAAUGACGGUACCCGGAGAAGAAGCCCCGGCUAACUUCGUGCCAGCCGCCGCAGUAA
Molecule: ribosomal RNA, 447 nt
Filed under: uncultured bacterium
Lineage: Bacteria
Description: partial 16S ribosomal RNA
Rfam family: Bacterial small subunit ribosomal RNA
Source: RNAcentral